UGGGAAUAUUGCGCACUGGCGGAAACCCUGACGCAGCAAUACCGCGGGAGUGAAGAAGGCUGUCGGAUCGUAAAGCCCUGUCAUUGGGGAAGAAAAAAAGAAGGUACCCCAGAAGAAAGGACAGGCGAACUUCGUGCUAGCAGCCGCGGUAAUACGUAGGGGACAAGCGUUGUCCGGAUUUACUGGGCGUAAAGGGCACGCAGGCGGUUUUUUAAGUCAGAUGUGAAAGGUACCGGCUCAACCGGUGACAUGCAUUUGAAACUGAAAGACUUGAGUAUUGGAGAGGCAAGUGGAAUUCCUAGUGUAGCGGUGAAAUGCGUAGAUAUUAGGAGGAACACCGGUGGCGAAGGCGGCUUGCUGGACAAAUACUGGCGCUGAGGUGCGAAAGCGUGGGGAGCAAACA
Molecule: ribosomal RNA, 403 nt
Filed under: uncultured Acetobacterium sp.
Lineage: Bacteria; Bacillati; Bacillota; Clostridia; Eubacteriales; Eubacteriaceae
Description: bacterial SSU rRNA
Rfam family: Bacterial small subunit ribosomal RNA
Source: RNAcentral